RNAcentral lists this ribosomal RNA (397 nucleotides) under uncultured bacterium. RNAcentral describes it as "partial 16S ribosomal RNA". It matches the Rfam family "Bacterial small subunit ribosomal RNA", at positions 523 to 918 of the family's 1533-position model. The record is from RNAcentral.
AUACGUAGGGGGCGAGCGUUGUCCGGAAUGACUGGGCGUAAAGGGCGUGUAGGCGGCGGUGUAAGUCUGGAGUGAAAGUCCCGCAUUCAAUGUGGGAAUUGCUUUGGAUACUGCAGUGCUAGAGUGCGGAAGAGGUAAGUGGAAUUCCCGGGGUAGCGGUGAAAUGCGUAGAGAUCGGGAGGAACACCAGUGGCGAAGGCGGGUAACUGGACUGCAACUGACGCUGAGGCGCGAAAGUGUGGGGAGCAAACAGGAUUAGAUACCCUGGUAGUCCACACUGUAAACGAUGAAUGCUAGGUGUAGGAGGUAUCGACCCCUUCUGUGCCGCAGUAAACACAGUAAGCAUUCCGCCUGGGGAGUACGGUCGCAAGAUUAAAACUCAAAUGAAUUGACGGGG